UUCCUACUGGCGGGUCAGCUGUACCUCGGAAUUCCCAGGGGUCCCGGGCUUCCUGCUGAUGGUGCAGCUUUGAGCUCUCUUUGCUCAAGGACAGUCUCCUCCUGGAUCCCUGGGGCAGACAUCCUUCCCAGGAAUGAUAGGCAAGGAGAAUUUUCUGCUCUUUUGGAUCCACCAGACCAGGAAAUGAACCCAUGUCCCCUACAUCAGCAAGUGGAUUCCUAACCAUAACGUCACCAGUGAAGUCCCUCUGUGCAACUUCUGAACGAGUCAAGGAAGCCUCCCCAACUCUGCAUGCGCAGGAAGGCUCUUUGGAGGUGAAAGGCAGAGUGAUGUCAACCUAUCAAUAGGCCUCUUCGCUAGAAUCCAUCUUGGCUAAGAGAUACAUGCACACACAUGGAAGGACCAUCAGAUAAACCAAAUACAGACUCAGAACCAGACAAAGCAAGAUGAUUGGCCAAAGGAAACCCCAAAGAAAUGUCCCAUAUAAGUAAUUCAAACUACCACAAGAUCAUGACUCUCUGAGCCUGCCUGUGUGUCCAUCCACAUGUACUCCUUUUCCCUGUAAUAAACAUUUUACUUGUUUCACUAUG
Long non-coding RNA from Odocoileus virginianus texanus, 590 nucleotides. RefSeq lists it as uncharacterized. The record is from RefSeq and is a predicted model, not a curated record. NCBI's taxonomy places the organism in Eukaryota, Metazoa, Chordata, Mammalia, Artiodactyla, Cervidae.